GCUGGGUGUGGUGGUGUGCACCUGUAGUCCAAGCUACUUGGAGGCUGAGUCAGGAGAACUGCUUGAGCCUGGAAGAGAGAGGCUGCAGUGAGCUAUGACCAUGCCACUGCACUCCAGCCCAGGCAACAGAGCGAUACCCUGUCUCAA
This 147-nucleotide non-coding RNA is filed under the name Pan troglodytes (chimpanzee). Lineage: Eukaryota; Metazoa; Chordata; Mammalia; Primates; Hominidae. The record is from Rfam by way of RNAcentral.